RNAcentral lists this ribosomal RNA (245 nucleotides) under uncultured Oligosphaera sp. RNAcentral's name for it is "partial 16S ribosomal RNA". It matches the Rfam family "Bacterial small subunit ribosomal RNA", at positions 796 to 1041 of the family's 1533-position model. Lineage: Bacteria; Pseudomonadati; Lentisphaerota; Oligosphaeria; Oligosphaerales; Oligosphaeraceae. The record is from RNAcentral.
CACGCCGUAAACGUUGAGUACUAGACGUCCGGGGGCUGACCCCCCGGGUGUCCAAGCAAACGCGAUAAGUACUCCGCCUGGGGACUACGGCCGCAAGGCUAAAACUCAAAGGAAUUGACGGGGGCCCGCACAAGCGGUGGAGCAUGUUGCUUAAUUCGAGGCAACGCGAAGAACCUUACCCAGGUUUGACAUGCAUGUGACCGGAGAUGAAAGUCUCCUUCCCUUCGGGGCAGAUGCACAGAUGC